CGGCGUGUAGCGCAGUUGAUAGCGCGCUUCGUUUGGGACGAAGAUGUCACCGGUUUGAAUCCGGUCACGCCGACCA
Molecule: transfer RNA, 76 nt
Filed under: Pseudomonas syringae pv. actinidiae
Lineage: Bacteria; Pseudomonadati; Pseudomonadota; Gammaproteobacteria; Pseudomonadales; Pseudomonadaceae
Description: tRNA-Pro
Rfam family: tRNA
About the family: Transfer RNA (tRNA) molecules are approximately 80 nucleotides in length. Their secondary structure includes four short double-helical elements and three loops (D, anti-codon, and T loops).
Source: RNAcentral